UUGUAGUACAUACAAUACCUUGGUCUUGUAAACCAAAAAAGGAGAAUAUGCACCCUCCCUAAGACUUCAA
RNAcentral lists this transfer RNA (70 nucleotides) under Panthera onca (jaguar). Its description in RNAcentral is "tRNA-Thr". Lineage: Eukaryota; Metazoa; Chordata; Mammalia; Carnivora; Felidae. The record is from RNAcentral.